Molecule: ribosomal RNA, 498 nt
Filed under: uncultured bacterium
Lineage: Bacteria
Description: partial 16S ribosomal RNA
Rfam family: Bacterial small subunit ribosomal RNA
Source: RNAcentral
GAUGAACGCUAGCGGCAGGCCUAAUACAUGCAAGUCGAGGGAGAAUGUUGGAUUCGUCUGACAUGAAACCGGCGCACGGGUGCGUAACACGUAUGCAACCUACCUUUAACUGGGGUAUAGCUCAGAGAAAUCUGAAUUAAUCCCCCAUAAGACUACGACAUGGCAUCAUGAUGUAGUUAAAGCUCCGGCGGUUAAGGAUGGGCAUGCGGUACAUUAGCUAGUUGGUGAGGUAAUGGCUCACCAAGGCUACGAUGUAUAGGGGGUCUGAGAGGAUGAUACCCCACACUGGUAAUGAGACACGGACCAAACUCCUACGGGAGGCAGCAGUAGGGAAUAUUGGUCAAUGGACGCAAGUCUGAACCAGCCAUGCCGCGUGAAGGAUGAAGGCCCUAUGGGUCGUAAACUUCUUUUAUUAGGGAAGAAAAAACGGGAUGCGUCCUGUACUGACGGUACUUAAUGAAUAAGGAUCGGCUAACUUCGUGCCAGCAGCCGCCGUAA